Molecule: ribosomal RNA, 627 nt
Filed under: Triticum aestivum (bread wheat)
Lineage: Eukaryota; Viridiplantae; Streptophyta; Magnoliopsida; Poales; Poaceae
Description: partial small subunit ribosomal RNA
Source: RNAcentral
AUGCGGCGCUGCUUUCCGGACCUGGUGCUCUGCGAGCCGGCCACGCGGCGCUACCAGCUCAUCCCGCGCAUGGAGGAGGUGAAGCACGAGCGCUACUUCGGCGCCUUCCUCUAUGUAGACGGAGCCAUCAACGUGGGCUCGUGGGAGGAGAAGAGCUAUAACCAGUCCACGUUCCAGGUGGUCUGCCUACUCUACCAAAGGCACGACCGCGUGUGCGAGGAAAUUGGCAGGGCCAGGGUCUGCGUGUUCUACUACUACACUCAUUGUGGCAGAUUGGUCUUGAACCGUCCGCCGGGAUGGUACCUCAAGAAGGAGUACCAUGGACCGUCGUCUCUUAAUCUUCAUGGUCCAGAAUCUCUCUAUUUCUUGGGGCGCACGACACAUUUUCCGUAUUGGGGUAUCAAGCAUGAUGAUCGAGCCUUGCUGCUUUUUAAAGGAUAUACCAAAGUCUACAGUGUGCCCGACGUCGCUCGAGGGUCGGUCUUCCGUCUUGUUGAUCAUAGCAGUCAGUACGACAAGAUUCGUGUUGUUUGCUUGCAUGGCAGCACUCUACGGAUCUUUGUGGCGCUGUUUUAUAAUAUGGAGAACUCGGUGCUUGAAAAGAGCAUCCAGUUGACAUCCAGUUGA